RNAcentral lists this long non-coding RNA (6420 nucleotides) under Gallus gallus (chicken). The record is from RNAcentral. Lineage: Eukaryota; Metazoa; Chordata; Aves; Galliformes; Phasianidae.
GGAAGGGGCGCCCGGAGCUGCGAGCUCUUUCCACAUAUGCUGGCCUCGCCUCCUCCUCCCUGUGCAGAGGGAAAAGAACUCCAAAAAGCCAUGCAAACGUAUUUAAAGCGUUAGGAAAUUCGACGAAUUUGCAAGCGGUUGUGCCGUCACUUUCUCCAGGCACUCCCGGAGAGACAGAAGCUCAUCUAUUAAACAAAUUUCAUGCACAAAGAGUCUCAGAUUCUUCUCUUGAGCACAUCUGGAAAAAGGCUCCCUAGGUGUCUCGCUCAUCCACGCAUACACAAAAGAGAGCUUGUCCCGACCGAGGGCCGGCAACACCCCCUCCUCCCUCUCUCCCUGCUCGAGCCGUACAGGAGCUCCAGCCGACUCCAUUGCACCAGCAGCGGGAAAAACCCACUGCAUUCGCACUCUCAAGAGCGGAGCCGCCCUCCGGCAGAAGGGCAUCCCCACUCAACCAAGCAAAUGGAUAAAUCGUGACCUAAAGGAGCCCCUCAGCCCAGGAGGCGUUUCCACAGGGCAGCCGCCGCUCGGCAGCGCCAAGAGGACCGCGCUCCCCCGAGCGCGGCGCUGCCGAUCAAAGCCCCUCACCGCGCCGAGAGACUCACCUCAGGGGAAGCGAGGAGGGGAACCACCGCCCCGGGGCGAGAGCCGGCGGGGCUGCUGGGCCGGGGCCUGGGGCUGCCUCGCCGUGCCCGCCGGGAGAGGCACCAGAAAUGAAAGGGGGGAGCUGCUGAGUCCCGGCGCUUCCGACCAACUCUCGGAAAAGCCUCGCCCAGGCAAAGUUGUUUGACCAUAAAAGGAGAGAGGCUGUGCGAACAGCUGAGCUCACUCGCUGGGGAAUGUAGCAAUGAGAAAUUAAAGCACGUAUCCCAUGAUUCUUCAGUGCAGAAGCGGGGUUUGCUCUUCUUGCGUUGCCUGCGGAGCACGUACUAAACUUUUAUACUGAAGACCGGCUGCUUGAACUGCCUUGUUGUAUGGUCUGUGCUGCACAUGGGCUUUGUUUUUGGCCCAGCACUGGCUGGGGCUCGGUCCUGCUCAAUACCUGGCCCAGCGCAGCAGUGUGUGUAGUUUUCAACUGUGAUCUUCUUCAGUUCUCCUUGCUUCUAAGGAAAGAGGAGCGUCCAUGAAGACAGCGUUCCUUGUGCAUUGUGCCAUCAUUAUACGUUGUCUUCAGAAUUCAGCCUUAAUAUUGGGGUUAAUGCCCCUCCAAUUAGAAUUACUGUAUUUGGUGAUGCUUGUGAGAUCUGGAGCUUGCCUGCUUCUUAGACACCUACCAACAAAGGUACCUUCCAGCAGUGGUUCUUCAGUUGCAGGUGGCUGAGCAAGCCAUGAGUCAUGCCAGUUAGGUGCCCAGUGUACAUUACUGCAGUAUACUCCCACCAGAGAGCUGCACAGAGUGGUUCAAUGAGGCUUAAGAAAUGCAGCAUGAACAAACCUUUAAUUUUAUAAGCAGGGUUGGCGCAAAGAGGUAACGCAUUUUAUGAUAGAGCUGGAAAAAGAAUGGCACUCUAAGAUUUUCCAGCUUAACACAACUGAAAAUGCCGCCUAUACCAAUGUAUCUGUCCGUAUGUCUGUCACAGCAGCUCACUGCUUCCAUAGCUGCAGCUGUUGAACUGCUGACCUACAGCUGUUAAACGCUUAAGGAUAUAUAAUUCUCAUGUAAGUGCUAAAUAUUAUUAUAAUGCCACUUUUCUAGGCAUGUCAUCAGUCCCAUUAGCUGCCGUAAUUAAUGCAUGAAAUAACUAUAUGGUUUAAAGAAGGUUUGUGCUGUGCUGGGUCUUCUAACACUGUCACUUUUCUAGUGCCGACAGUCCUUUUCCUUUUUGUUCAGGGGAAGAUGUCAGUGCAGAACUAAAAAGUAACCAAGUUCUGGUACACGGCAGAGCACCCCACACAAUCAGCCUGACCUCAGAGUACUAUACCACCAUUCCCACUGCUAGCUCUGACUCCAAAGAAAACAAAGAAUGUCUCAGACUGAGAUUUAAAAAGUGCUGAGAGAAUAUGAAAAAAUUCUACCCUCUCAUCAUUUCUGGUUACAUCCACGUAAAUCCAGAUGCUUGUACAUUUGAUUGUCUCACCAAUCUGGUGAUGUUAAAAACUGAUGAGAGCAGCUCAAGAAAAAUAAAAAUAAAUAAACAAAUAAAAAGCAGUCCAUCUUACACGUUCUAUUUUAAGUUCUCACAAUGGAGAAACAGAUAUGAAUGAGAUUACUGUUGAGCAGGUUGGAGAUGUGAAAGACAGAGUUCUCAAAUCAGAGUAUGUCAGAAUACAUAGAGAAAAACUUUAAUCUGAUUUUGUGGAUUAUAAAAAUAAAUCUCUUUGUGCUAAUUACUUUCUUUCCUGCAGUCCUUUGCUUGGAGGAGCAGACAUUUUUCUGCUGCAAACUCAAGUUAGUGCCUUGAGAUGCACACAGCAGCAGUCAAUCCCCUUACUGGAAGCAAAAUGUUAUUCCUGAAUAAGAGUUUAUCUGCCUGGGAGCAGAUACAGAUCAGCAGGUUUACUUGGCUUGUUGUGCCAGAGGACAUGAGCUUGACCUUCUUGUGUUUUCUGGAAUAAGCAGUAGUGUUCUUCUUGAAUCCCUUUGGCUGUCCCAUGCCAUGGAAAUAGUGAUCUGGUAUUUUGGAGUGUACUGUGGUGUGAAAGCUACUGUUCCACACAUGUAGGGCGGAAUGAUAGCUGACUACAAAGCAGAUGAUGGAGGGAUUUAGACUAUGCAGUUCUGGCUUUCUUCUUCUUUGAGGUCUGCUAAUGGAAGCAAGGCCCAAUGCUGGCUGUCAAACCAAAGCUUAGAAAUUCCUGAAGUUGAAUGAACCCACCUCAGAGAGACUAAGUUUUCAUGGAGACAAACAUAAAGAAUCCUUAUGAGCAAUCAAGUUGCAUAAUACAGUAAGUAAAGAUGAAUGCAAUACAGAAGUGAUGUGACAAAUUCAUGUACUGCACUGAAAUUAGGAGUAUGCUGACAGUGAUUAUGUGGCUUUAAAAUAAAAAUAAAAUUAAGAUAAGAAAGCAUAAGUUCUUGAAUGCAAAAAGGAUCCUUUCCAAGAUAACCAAUAGGGAAUUAAACCUUUGGGGCAGAAAAUCUUACCUAAAUUCAAGAGGAUUCCAGGUAGCUGCAGAUUUCAAUAUUAACAGCAAGCUAAACGUCAGAGGAAAUCAAUUUGGAUGCUGGACAGAAUGCACUAACUAUGUUAAUAAUGUAAAAUAUCUUAAUCUGUAUAAUUUUCAUCUGUAUCAACAGAUCUAGUAGUGCCGUUUUAUCUCGGCAUGAAUUAGUCAGCCAUUAUUAGUGCUACUUUUAAAAGUCCAUGUUUUUGUAACCAAUGAAAAGGCCUGACUCAUACCUGUCUUGCAUCACUGUUACUUCUUUAAUCAUGUAGCUUCUGUUUAGUCUAAUUGCUUUUUUUUUUUUUAAAUGUAUUCUAAGGUGCUGCUCAUCAGCAUAGCCUGUAUACACUUUCUUAUUUAAAUGCUGUCUGUGGGAACAGAAAAAUUGAGAAUAGAUAAUGGGUCCAAUUUUGUCUCCAGGUCAAGAGGUACAGACGACGUCAGGUCCACACUGUCUAGGGCAGGGCCACCUGCAACAUGGUGCAUGUAAUGCAUCCUGGUAAGAGCUUUUGGGGGAUCCGCUGUGCUCUCACAGCAUAGGCUCUUAGCAUGCUCCAUAUGCACUCCCUCAAGUGCAGUGCAUGGCAAUUCUCCAUGAUCUGGCUUAGAUCUGAUGAAGGCUGACAUCUGCUGUGGCAUUGGAUCAGGUAAACUACUACUACUGCCAUAUAGGUAUCACUGUCCUGCUGAAGCAGGCUGCCUCAAUCUGCAGAAAGGGAAGGGGUACUUGCCCCAGCCUCACUGUCCUGACUGAAAAGUAGUUUCAAGUUGGAGUGCCUCAUUCUCCUUCUGGGAUGCAUGUUGGCAGCUGCGUGCCAAAGAGUCAAAUAUAGAGACAUACACUUGGAGAGUGCAGAGGCUGCAGUCUUUACAAGCCUAAUCAUCCUCCUGCAUCUGUGAAACUGGCAUGCAGUCAGGAAUUUGCAAAGUUAUUUGCAAAGGUCAUGAAUUCUUUUGGAGAAAUCCCUAAACAACAAACUGCCCAGGACAGAUAGAUAGUGCCUCUCUGGUUUUUUCCCUUCAAAACUGAGUCUGCUAUGCAAAGCAGACUGUCUGUCCCCAAGAAGGGGCUCAUUCAACAGCUAUGGGGAACUUCAGUGAUCUCUGAGAAGUGUAAUUGACACUGUCCCCAUAACAUCCUCAUAGAAAACCUUCUGAUGUUUGGGAUGGAUUAGCAGACAGUGAAAUAGAUUUGAAAACUGGCCUAAUGGCUGGGCAUAGAGGGCAGUGGUCAGAGGCACAGAGUGUUGUUGGACACCAGUAAUUUUCACUGUACCACAGGGGUCAAUACAGGAUCUAGUCCUCUUGAACAUCUUCAUCGAUGAUCUGGAUGAUCAUCAUGUACCUGCAGUAAAUUCACAGGAGACAUGAAACUGAGGGGAGUGGCUGAUUUCACCUGAACAGUACACUACCACCCAGAGGGAUCUCAACUGGCUGAAGAAAUGUGUUGACAAGAAUCUAAUGGAAUUCAACAACAAGAAGUGCUGAGUCCUGCACCUGAGGAGAAACAAUACAUAGGACCAGUACUUGCUGGGGAACACCCUUUUGCAGAAAAGGACCUGGGAGUCUGGGUGGACACCAAGUGAACAUAAGCCUAUAGUGUGUCUUUCCUGCUAAAAGGGCUAAUAGUACCCUUGGCUGCAUUAAGCAAAAUGUCACCAGCAGGUCAAGGAGAUGAUCCCUCCCCUCUACUCAGUGAUGGUUAGACUGCACCUGGAGUGCUGAAUACAUUUUUGGGCUCCUCAGGACAAGGCAGAUAUGGACUGACUGGAAACAGUCCAGUAUAGGGCCACCAAGAUGAUAAAGGGCCUGGAGAACCUCUCCUGUGAGGAGAGUCUUGAGAGCUGGAGCCUGGAAAAGAGGAGGACUGGGGGAUCUUACCAAUGUAUAUAAAUACCUGGAGGGAGGGUGCCCAGAGGACACAACCAGGCUCUUUUCAGUGUUGCCCAGUGCCAAGACAUGAGCCAGUGUGCACACACGGGGACACAGGAGGUUCCCUCUGAACACCUGGAAGCACUUCUGUGCUGUGCAGAUGAUGGAGCGCUGGCACGGGUUGCCCAGAGAGGCGGUGGGGUCUCCUCCUUGGAGAUCUCCAGAAGUCACCUGAACGUGGGCCUGGGCACCCUGCUGUGGGGGUCCCUGCUGGAGCAGGGGUUGGGCCAGAUGGACACAGAGGGCACUGCCAGCCUCAGCCAUGCUGUAAUUAAUUUUACAUCUUCAAAUUAAUUUAUAAAAGUAUUGCGUUAUACACACAUAUGCACAUACUUCAAAGGGCCAUUCUAAUCACAUAUACACACAAAAAGCAUUAGAAAGAGUUUAACUUGUAAAGAACAACAACAGAAUCCUUUUGCUGUGGCAGGAAAUGCUUUAGUGAGGCAAUGCAGAUGUAUACAAGAAAGAGGGGGUGAGGCGUCUCUGUGGUAUGAGCAUGGGCAUACAAAUGUGUCACAGGCCAUCUUAGUGGCCAGGGGAGCAGAGACCUGGGGUCUAUUCUGAGGAGAAGCAACGUUUCUAGCAGGGCUGGCAGGUCUUUCCUGAACAGAAAUAUGGCAGACGUUCAGCUCCCAGAUAUUAUCAGUCUCACUUCUGUUUCCUUGUCUCUUCACGCCAAGUUUUCCUGAUGAAUAGCUGCCUCUCCCCUUCUUGACAGGGCAGCAGACCUUCAUUGCCAUGGCUCCUGGGGCUUGUUCACAGGCACAUGUCCUCUCUCUCACACUGCUCUCCUACACCUGCUCACUGCAGCAGGACCUGGAGCCUGAGGGGCAAACAGGCUGGCUCAGUGGGUAUCUCUUACCUGAAGUGGAGAAUGAGCUGUUCUGUGACUCUGGAAAACCUCAACCAGUCAGCCAAGGCCUAGAGAACAUAGCGGGAUUCAGUUGGAACACAGAUGAGUAAUUGCGACAUGCCCAUGGAUGUGGCUGGAUGUGGAUGUCUGCCAGAAUCUGUUCUGCUUGGAAAGCAGCUAUACCCUUGCAGUUUCCACAGCCUGGUGCCCUAAUCCUUGCCACCAGCAAGAAAAGUUGAGAUGUGUUCGGUUGUUUUGUGCAAAUAGUGCUUGUCAGAACUAACUGUCAAAGAAACAGAUGUGUCAGUCUGCUAAUUAAAGAGCCUACUCUUCCUGUGUGCAGUACAAGCCUCUUUCCAUCCUAAUUGUUAUGGAAGUCUCCUUUUUUCUCUUUGUUACAUUGUGUAGUCUUGUAGGCAUAGCACAAACAAGAGGCAAAACCAGAUUCUCAGCUGCCUUAGUUCAUACUAAACCUCCUACGUCAUACAGUAGGAGAAGUUCUGUGGUGGCUUUCCCACAGUAGCUGGUGC